CUCGGCGGGAUCUCUGCCCCGGGCGCGUCGCAGCCCCGGACCAAGGCGCCCGCCGGAGGACCAACCAAAACUCUUUUUGUAUACCCCCUCGCGGGUUUUUUUAUAAUCUGAGCCUUCUCGGCGCCUCUCGUAGGCGUUUCGAAAAUGAAUCAAAACUUUCAACAACGGAUCUCUUGGUUCUGGCAUCGAUGAAGAACGCAGCGAAAUGCGAUAAGUAAUGUGAAUUGCAGAAUUCAGUGAAUCAUCGAAUCUUUGAACGCACAUUGCGCCCGCCAGUAUUCUGGCGGGCAUGCCUGUCCGAGCGUCAUUUCAACCCUCGAACCCCUCCGGGGGGUCGGCGUUGGGGAUCGGCCCUCCCUUAGCGGGUGGCCGUCUCCGAAAUACAGUGGCGGUCUCGCCGCAGCCUCUCCUGCGCAGUAGUUUGCACACUCGCAUCGGGAGCGCGGCGCGUCCACAGCCGUAAACACCCACUUCUAAAUGU
This 481-nucleotide ribosomal RNA is filed under the name Trichoderma sp. INBio3688A. Its description in RNAcentral is "eukaryotic LSU rRNA". The stretch from base 154 to 307 matches the Rfam family "5.8S ribosomal RNA". Lineage: Eukaryota; Fungi; Ascomycota; Sordariomycetes; Hypocreales; Hypocreaceae. The record is from RNAcentral.